GUUCCAGCUGAGGAGAGAUAGAGGGAAUAGAAAAGGAAGAGGAAAGAAAAGUAUAAGAAAUAAUCAAAUGAAAAAACAAGUGGGUGGGCCUUCUUUUUUCUUUUAUAAACAGCAAUGCGACUGAGAGAGGUUGUUGGCACUGCCCUAAAACUGAAAAACAAAAAGGCAGAUGGGUUAAUACGUGUCUGAGGUGCACCUGGGUGCGCACAUUGGCUGCCUUUUGCAGCUGGAGGCACCAAGGACUGCACCUGGUGUGCCUUGCGCCUUAGGCGCACCUUUGAUAACUAUGAUGCAUACCGCACAGCUACAGGAAAACAGAAAUAUCUAUUAAAUUGCAUUACGACCAAAUGCCUCAGAUAUCACAAAAGCAAAUACAAAUGUUAUGUUUAUAAAUGGAAAACUGUAAAAUUUCAUGGUUGAUCCACCAAGUAUUCUGCCCACCCCCCAAAUUACUAUUAUUAUCAUCAACUAAUCAAUCAAAAAUGGGCAACUAGCUGGCGAAAUUCAUGAAAUUUAAUU
This 519-nucleotide unclassified non-coding RNA is filed under the name Hevea brasiliensis (rubber tree). The record is from RNAcentral. Lineage: Eukaryota; Viridiplantae; Streptophyta; Magnoliopsida; Malpighiales; Euphorbiaceae.